GUCGAGCGGCAGCACGGGGAGCUUGCUCCCUGGUGGCGAGCGGCGGACGGGUGAGUAAUGCAUAGGAAUCUGCCCGGUAGUGGGGGAUAACGUGGGGAAACCCACGCUAAUACCGCAUACGUCCUACGGGAGAAAGCGGAGGAUCUUCGGACUUCGCGCUAUCGGAUGAGCCUAUGUCGGAUUAGCUAGUUGGUAAGGUAACGGCUUACCAAGGCGACGAUCCGUAGCUGGUCUGAGAGGAUGAUCAGCCACACUGGGACUGAGACACGGCCCAGACUCCUACGGGAGGCAGCAGUGGGGAAUAUUGGACAAUGGGCGAAAGCCUGAUCCAGCCAUGCCGCGUGUGUGAAGAAGGCUUUCGGGUUGUAAAGCACUUUCAGCGAGGAAGAAAGCCUGCCGGUUAAUACCCGGCAGGAACGACAUCACUCGCAGAAGAAGCACCGGCUAACUCCGUGCCAGCAGCCGCGGUAAUACGGAGGGUGCGAGCGUUAAUCGGAAUUACUGGGCGUAAAGCGCGCGUAGGUGGCUUGGCACGCCAGGUGUGAAAGCCCCGGGCUCAACCUGGGAACGGCAUCUGGAACGGCCAAGCUAGAGUGCAGGAGAGGAAGGUGGAAUUCCCGGUGUAGCGGUGAAAUGCGUAGAGAUCGGGAGGAAUACCAGUGGCGAAGGCGGCCUUCUGGCCUGACACUGACACUGAGGUGCGAAAGCGUGGGUAGCAAACAGGAUUAGAUACCCUGGUAGUCCACGCCGUAAACGAUGUCGACUAGCCGUUGGGACCUUUAAGGACUUAGUGGCGCAGUUAACGCGAUAAGUCGACCGCCUGGGGAGUACGGCCGCAAGG
Molecule: ribosomal RNA, 841 nt
Filed under: Salinicola halophilus
Lineage: Bacteria; Pseudomonadati; Pseudomonadota; Gammaproteobacteria; Oceanospirillales; Halomonadaceae
Description: bacterial SSU rRNA
Rfam family: Bacterial small subunit ribosomal RNA
Source: RNAcentral